UUCCUCUCUCUGCCAAAAGACUCAAUUGGGCUGGCGGCGGAAGAGGAGAGGAAAAUAAAUUGUCAUGACGCCUCCCUUGACCCCCCCCCCACACACACCCACCCACACCCCACACACACACUUGAAGGUCACCUACCUGCAGCAAUUACUGAGUGGCCCCUGGUCCUUGGCCUUAUUCCCCAGAGGGUGGUUACUAGUAGGGAGCUGGGGGGCUAUAGAGCUGGAGGCUGGCUAAGAUGAAGGAAGAGAGACUAUGGCUGGGAGGCUGAAAACAUAAUGGCUGGCUGGGAGACUGGGAGGCUGAAAACACAAUGGCUGGCUGGGAGACUGGGAGGCUGAAAACAUAAUGACUGGCUGGGAGACUGGGAGGCUGAAAACAUAAUGGCUGGCUGGGAGAUUGGGAGGCUGAAAACAUAAUGACUGGCUGGGAGGCUGAAAACACAAUGACUGGCUGGGAGACUGGGAGGCUGAAAACAUGAUGGGCUGGGAGACUGGGAGGCUGAAAACACAAUGGCUGGCUGGGAGACUGGGAGGCUGAAAACAUAAUGACUGGCUGGGAGACUGGGAGGCUGAAAACAUAAUGGCUGGCUGGGAGACUGGGAGGCUGAAAACAUGACUGGCUGGGAGGGGAGGCUGAAAACACAAUGGCUGGCUGGG
Molecule: long non-coding RNA, 657 nt
Organism: Oncorhynchus tshawytscha (Chinook salmon)
Lineage: Eukaryota; Metazoa; Chordata; Actinopteri; Salmoniformes; Salmonidae
Source: Ensembl